This 458-nucleotide ribosomal RNA is filed under the name uncultured bacterium. RNAcentral describes it as "bacterial SSU rRNA". It matches the Rfam family "Bacterial small subunit ribosomal RNA", at positions 340 to 785 of the family's 1533-position model. The record is from RNAcentral.
UACGGGAGGCAGCAGUGGGGAAUAUUGCACAAUGGGCGCAAGCCUGAUGCAGCCAUGCCGCGUGUAUGAAGAAGGCCUUCGGGUUGUAAAGUACUUUCAGUCGUGAGGAAGGUGUUAAGGUUAAUAACCUUAGCAAUUGACGUUAGCGACAGAAGAAGCACCGGCUAACUCCGUGCCAGCAGCCGCGGUAAUACGGAGGGUGCGAGCGUUAAUCGGAAUUACUGGGCGUAAAAGGGCACGCAGGCGGUUAAUUAAGUUGGAUGUGAAAAUCCCCGGGCUUAAACCUGGGAAUGGCAUUCAAGACUGGUUAGCUAGAGUCUUGUAGAGGGGGUAGAAUUCCAUGUGUAGCGGUGAAAAUGCGUAGAGAUGUGGAGGAAUACCGGUGGCGAAAGGCGGCCCCUGGACAAAGACUGACGCUCAUGUGCGAAAAGCGUGGGGAGCAAACAGGGAUUAGAUAC